Molecule: ribosomal RNA, 440 nt
Filed under: uncultured bacterium
Lineage: Bacteria
Description: partial 16S ribosomal RNA
Rfam family: Bacterial small subunit ribosomal RNA
Source: RNAcentral
CCUACGGGUGGCAGCAGUGGGGAAUAUUGCACAAUGGGGGAAACCCUGAUGCAGCGACGCCGCGUGAGUGAAGAAGUAAUUCGUUAUGUAAAGCUCUAUCAGCAGGGAAGAAAAUGACGGUACCUGAGUAAGAAGCCCCGGCUAACUACGUGCCAGCAGCCGCGGUAAUAAGUAGGGGGCAAGCGUUAUCCGGAUUUACUGGGUGUAAAGGGAGCGUAGACGGGAGUGCAAGUCUGGAGGGAAAGGCCGGGGCCCAACCCCCGGACUGCUCUGGAAACUGUACGGCUGGAGUGCAGGGGAGGUAAGUGGAAUUCCUGGUGUAGCGGUGGAAGGCGUAGAUAUUAAGAGGGACACCAGGGGCGAAGGCGGCUUAAGGGACUGGUACUGACGUUGAGGCUCGAAAGCGUGGGGAGCAAACAGGAUUAGAUACCCCUGUAGUC